This 221-nucleotide long non-coding RNA is filed under the name Elaeis guineensis (African oil palm). Its description in RNAcentral is "long non-coding RNA (EGUI_LNC008004)". Lineage: Eukaryota; Viridiplantae; Streptophyta; Magnoliopsida; Arecales; Arecaceae. The record is from RNAcentral.
UUUUUUUUCUAUUGCCGCUCCCUCUCCUGCUACAUCUUGUCUAUACCUCUUGCUUUGCUAUUUUGGCUAUAUUGACUAUUUUCAAUAGGAAACCAACUGCAUCAGUCUCACUCUAGCAUGAAUCCUAGGCCUUAGCUCUUUCUUAAAUCUCUAUACUUUGAUACCAUCAAUAGCCACUAAAUCUAGAGCAAAGCGAUAGCUCUGCAAAUUUGUUCUCAUAC